This 313-nucleotide ribosomal RNA is filed under the name uncultured Lachnospiraceae bacterium. RNAcentral describes it as "bacterial SSU rRNA". It matches the Rfam family "Bacterial small subunit ribosomal RNA", at positions 355 to 685 of the family's 1533-position model. The record is from RNAcentral. Lineage: Bacteria; Bacillati; Bacillota; Clostridia; Lachnospirales; Lachnospiraceae.
UGGGGGAUAUUGCACAAUGGGGGGAACCCUGAUGCAGCGACGCCGCGUGAGCGAAGAAGUGCUUCGGCAUGUAAAGCUCUAUCAGCAGGGAAGAAAAUGACGGUACCUGACUAAGAAGCCCCGGCUAACUACGUGCCAGCAGCCGCGGUAAUACGUAGGGGGCAAGCGUUAUCCGGAUUUACUGGGUGUAAAGGGAGCGUAGACGGCAUGGCAAGUCCGAUGUGAAAACCCGCGGCUCAACUGCGGGAUGGCAUUGGAAACUGUCAGGCUUGAGUACUGGAGGGGCAGGCGGAAUUCCUGGUGUAGCGGUGGA